Lemur catta (Ring-tailed lemur) is the source of this 108-nucleotide small nuclear RNA. The record is from RefSeq and is a predicted model, not a curated record. NCBI's taxonomy places the organism in Eukaryota, Metazoa, Chordata, Mammalia, Primates, Lemuridae.
GGGCUCGCUUCGGCAGCACAUAUACUAAAAUUGGAACGAUACAGAUAAGAUUAGCAUGGCCCCUGCGCAAGGAUGACACGGAAAAAAAAAAAAGAGAACUAUCCAAUU